CUUGUAAUUCCUGUCCGGAGGUAAACAUAAUAUUCACUACAGUUGUGUGCGGAAAGUAUGUUGGCACAUCUUAUAGUUGUCAGAGGAAGCGAUGGGGGCACGUUUAAUGACAGUGUCUUCUGUUUCUGUCAAAGCCAGGAUCAUUUUGAAAAACAAACACCUGGUUGGGUUAUUUUGACCCAGCAAUUGGUUUAUUAAUUGCCGCACUUUCUGGAUUCUUCGCUUCUGACUGGAUCACGCUACUCGGACCAGGCGGUAUUUCAUGAGUUCAGUAGAAUCCACUGAAUUGACCCCAACAGAUCAUAUCACCAUGACAGUGGAACUUUUUUCAGCCUUUGCAGUUUGUCAGAUUUUGGAAAGCACCCCUGAGAGGAAAUCCGUAUUAAACCGUUAAAGUGCAAGCAAUUACCAACAAGCAGAGGAGGCUACUUGUGAGACUCCUUGCAUCCCAUCUGCUGGAAACCAAUGGUGAAACCUGAGCCAUCAUCAGACACUAAGAAGGCAUGUGACAAGGCAUUGGUGUAUGAAUUUCCUUGCCUGAAGGAUAUACAGCUGCUAAAGGGGAAACAGCACUGAAGAUGCCAACUCUGCUAGCUCCAUCCAUUUACAGGGGAGGAGGAGAAGUCUUCAGACCUACCACUGUGGAGGCCCAGAGGUCCUUUAUUGACAUGCAACCUGUGGGGACCAACGUGGUGGAAUAUCUGCAAAAUCAGAGAUGUUGCACGUUUUGUGACUUGGGGACGAGCCAAGAAGGACCUGCCAGACCUUUGCCAUUGUUGGAGGCAAUGCCUCUGAGACAAACUCUUUGGUGAAGGAUGUUGAUAAGUUUUUUUUUGUCUUUGAUGUUAACUACACAAAGCAAUAGGUGUGUUCGACUUCAUGCAGCGCUGCGCAGACCGAUCGGCAGGUGACUUGAAGCAGUGCAUUUUGGUUAGUACUUUUGUCCGACUUCAGCUGGCGCUGCAGGCACGUGACUGUGUCAUAUGGUUUUUAAGUACCGCGAGAGCGUUUCGAGAGUAGCCAGCUGGCUCAGCCGGUGCAGCUUCUCCAGAGCGGCUGCCCGGAGUUGUGAUGACGUAACAGCUUUACUUGAUUGGUCGCUUCAUUGAUGACAACGAUCACGUGCGUUUCAAGUUUAAUCCAACCUUUAGUUUCACUAAUAAACAUUAUAAAUUCAUGUUUUAAAACAGGAAAAAAACACUUUAAUAUCCUAAAAUAUGUUAUAUUGUGUCGUGUAAUAAAAUAAAAAUGAAAAUAACAAACUCUAUUGGUAUUUUAAUAAUAUAGGCUUGUUUCCCGUUAUUUUCGGGUAUACAGUUUAAGCAGCAAUUAAAAUAUUCGAUAUAAAAUGUUUCUGGUUGCAACUUUUUAUCAAAAGGUUUGUUUUUAUCAAAUUCAGCAUCUAAUUCACUUAAUUUGCGAUUAUAAACAAGGAAACACGGCGCACACGUCACUACGGCAAGCAGCAGGUGUCCGGCUUGACAGCUCCGUCUUCAGUUCCUCCCUCGACUGCAAGCGGCAAACCUCGUCGAUCGGUCUGCGCAGCGCCGGAUGAUCUCGAACACACCUAUUGUCUUCCCACCUGGGAGUUUCACCAGGAUGCCAUUUAUCAGAUUGAUGGACAUGAGUCCUCCUCUGUUAACAUUUUGAGGACAACAUUUAAUCACUAAUAAUUAACUAUUUCAGUGCUAUGUUUGAAAGAUUCGCCCACAAUGCAAUGCCAACAGGAGUUUACUUACAGGCUGUGAGGUGAAGUGGGAGGAAUUAUGAUAAUUUCGGUCUUGUCUACGUCACCAAUCCCAGGAAGUAAACUGUUGCCUACAAUCUGUGUUUGUUGUAGUCCAAGAAAAGAGAUCACUCGCAUUAUCGUUUACUUUGGGGUUUGUACCUUUUGCAUAUCGUUAACAUGAAUUAAUACACAAUUACACACCAAAGGAAAUGUAAAAAUGUGAAUCGGACCAUAGCUGCUCUUUAAAAAAAAAAAUUGUUUCAGGGCUUCUU
Non-coding RNA from Misgurnus anguillicaudatus (oriental weatherfish), 2001 nucleotides. Lineage: Eukaryota; Metazoa; Chordata; Actinopteri; Cypriniformes; Cobitidae. The record is from RefSeq and is a predicted model, not a curated record.